RNAcentral lists this ribosomal RNA (2037 nucleotides) under Salmonella enterica. RNAcentral describes it as "partial 23S ribosomal RNA". It matches the Rfam family "Bacterial large subunit ribosomal RNA", at positions 785 to 2802 of the family's 2925-position model. Lineage: Bacteria; Pseudomonadati; Pseudomonadota; Gammaproteobacteria; Enterobacterales; Enterobacteriaceae. The record is from RNAcentral.
AAUGUUGAAAAAUUAGCGGAUGACCUGUGGCUGGGGGUGAAAGGCCAAUCAAACCGGGAGAUAGCUGGUUCUCCCCGAAAGCUAUUUAGGUAGCGCCUCGUGAAUUCAUCUCCGGGGGUAGAGCACUGUUUCGGCUAGGGGGCCAUCCCGGCUUACCAACCCGAUGCAAACUGCGAAUACCGGAGAAUGUUAUCACGGGAGACACACGGCGGGUGCUAACGUCCGUCGUGAAGAGGGAAACAACCCAGACCGCCAGCUAAGGUCCCAAAGUCAUGGUUAAGUGGGAAACGAUGUGGGAAGGCCCAGACAGCCAGGAUGUUGGCUUAGAAGCAGCCAUCAUUUAAAGAAAGCGUAAUAGCUCACUGGUCGAGUCGGCCUGCGCGGAAGAUGUAACGGGGCUAAACCAUGCACCGAAGCUGCGGCAGCGACGCUGAUGCGUUGUUGGGUAGGGGAGCGUUCUGUAAGCCUGCGAAGGUGGCCUGUGAGGGUUGCUGGAGGUAUCAGAAGUGCGAAUGCUGACAUAAGUAACGAUAAAGCGGGUGAAAAGCCCGCUCGCCGGAAGACCAAGGGUUCCUGUCCAACGUUAAUCGGGGCAGGGUGAGUCGACCCCUAAGGCGAGGCCGAAAGGCGUAGUCGAUGGGAAACGGGUUAAUAUUCCCGUACUUGGUGUUACUGCGAAGGGGGGACGGAGAAGGCUAUGUUGGCCGGGCGACGGUUGUCCCGGUUUAAGCGUGUAGGUGUGUGUUCCAGGUAAAUCCGGUUCACUUUAACACUGAGGCGUGACGACGAGGCACUACGGUGCUGAAGCAACAAAUGCCCUGCUUCCAGGAAAAGCCUCUAAGCAUCAGGUAACAUCAAAUCGUACCCCAAACCGACACAGGUGGUCAGGUAGAGAAUACCAAGGCGCUUGAGAGAACUCGGGUGAAGGAACUAGGCAAAAUGGUGCCGUAACUUCGGGAGAAGGCACGCUGACACGUAGGUGAAGUGAUUUACUCAUGGAGCUGAAGUCAGUCGAAGAUACCAGCUGGCUGCAACUGUUUAUUAAAAACACAGCACUGUGCAAACACGAAAGUGGACGUAUACGGUGUGACGCCUGCCCGGUGCCGGAAGGUUAAUUGAUGGGGUCAGCGCAAGCGAAGCUCCUGAUCGAAGCCCCGGUAAACGGCGGCCGUAACUAUAACGGUCCUAAGGUAGCGAAAUUCCUUGUCGGGUAAGUUCCGACCUGCACGAAUGGCGUAAUGAUGGCCAGGCUGUCUCCACCCGAGACUCAGUGAAAUUGAACUCGCUGUGAAGAUGCAGUGUACCCGCGGCAAGACGGAAAGACCCCGUGAACCUUUACUAUAGCUUGACACUGAACAUUGAGCCUUGAUGUGUAGGAUAGGUGGGAGGCUUUGAAGUGUGGACGCCAGUCUGCAUGGAGCCGACCUUGAAAUACCACCCUUUAAUGUUUGAUGUUCUAACGUGGACCCGUGAUCCGGGUUGCGGACAGUGUCUGGUGGGUAGUUUGACUGGGGCGGUCUCCUCCUAAAGAGUAACGGAGGAGCACGAAGGUUGGCUAAUCCUGGUCGGACAUCAGGAGGUUAGUGCAAUGGCAUAAGCCAGCUUGACUGCGAGCGUGACGGCGCGAGCAGGUGCGAAAGCAGGUCAUAGUGAUCCGGUGGUUCUGAAUGGAAGGGCCAUCGCUCAACGGAUAAAAGGUACUCCGGGGAUAACAGGCUGAUACCGCCCAAGAGUUCAUAUCGACGGCGGUGUUUGGCACCUCGAUGUCGGCUCAUCACAUCCUGGGGCUGAAGUAGGUCCCAAGGGUAUGGCUGUUCGCCAUUUAAAGUGGUACGCGAGCUGGGUUUAGAACGUCGUGAGACAGUUCGGUCCCUAUCUGCCGUGGGCGCUGGAGAACUGAGGGGGGCUGCUCCUAGUACGAGAGGACCGGAGUGGACGCAUCACUGGUGUUCGGGUUGUCAUGCCAAUGGCACUGCCCGGUAGCUAAAUGCGGAAGAGAUAAGUGCUGAAAGCAUCUAAGCACGAAACUUGCCCCGA